This 466-nucleotide ribosomal RNA is filed under the name uncultured bacterium. RNAcentral describes it as "bacterial SSU rRNA". It matches the Rfam family "Bacterial small subunit ribosomal RNA", at positions 338 to 795 of the family's 1533-position model. The record is from RNAcentral.
CCUANGGGGGGCAGCAGUAGGGAAUUUUGCGCAAUGGACGGAAGUCUGACGCAGCGACGCCGCGUGAGCGAUGAAGGUCUUCGGAUUGUAAAGCUCUGUUGAGUGAGAAGAAAACCCCCGGGAAUAAUACUCUCGGGAUUUGACGGUAUCACUCGAGGAAGCCCCGGCUAACUACGUGCCAGCAGCCGCGGUAAUACGUAGGGGGCUAGCGUUGUUCGGAAUUACUGGGCGUAAAGGGAGCGUAGGCGGAAUUGUAAGUUAAGAGUUAAAUUCACAGGCUUAACCUGUGGCCUGCUCUUAAUACUGCUUUUCUUGAGUAUGGGAGAGGGUGAUGGAAUUCCAGGUGUAGCGGUGGAAUGCGUAGAUAUCUGGAAGAACACCGGUUGCGAAGGCGGUCACCUGGCCCAAUACUGACGCUGAGGCUCGAAAGCUAGGGGAGCAAACAGGAUUAGAUACCCCGNUANUC